This 536-nucleotide ribosomal RNA is filed under the name Botrytis cinerea. RNAcentral describes it as "eukaryotic LSU rRNA". The stretch from base 186 to 339 matches the Rfam family "5.8S ribosomal RNA". The record is from RNAcentral. Lineage: Eukaryota; Fungi; Ascomycota; Leotiomycetes; Helotiales; Sclerotiniaceae.
ACAACCGGUUCCGUAGGUGACCUGCGGAAGGAUCAUUACAGAGUUCAUGCCCGAAAGGGUAGACCUCCCACCCUUGUGUAUUAUUACUUUGUUGCUUUGGCGAGCUGCCUUCGGGCCUUGUAUGCUCGCCAGAGAAAACCAAAACUCUUUUUAUUAAUGUCGUCUGAGUACUAUAUAAUAGUUAAAACUUUCAACAACGGAUCUCUUGGUUCUGGCAUCGAUGAAGAACGCAGCGAAAUGCGAUAAGUAAUGUGAAUUGCAGAAUUCAGUGAAUCAUCGAAUCUUUGAACGCACAUUGCGCCCCUUGGUAUUCCGGGGGGCAUGCCUGUUCGAGCGUCAUUUCAACCCUCAAGCUUAGCUUGGUAUUGAGUCUAUGUCAGUAAUGGCAGGCUCUAAAAUCAGUGGCGGCGCCGCUGGGUCCUGAACGUAGUAAUAUCUCUCGUUACAGGUUCUCGGUGUGCUUCUGCCAAAACCCAAAUUUUUCUAUGGUUGACCUCGGAUCAGGUAGGGAUACCCGCUGAACUUAAGCAUAUCAA